Molecule: long non-coding RNA, 1328 nt
Organism: Erpetoichthys calabaricus (reedfish)
Lineage: Eukaryota; Metazoa; Chordata; Cladistia; Polypteriformes; Polypteridae
Exons: 3
Source: RefSeq, a predicted model, not a curated record
UUUCAGUAACAGAAUAACGGCAAGUGAAAACAGCAAUUGCUAACAGUACUACUACUGAUUGUGUAUGAAGACCCACAAACAUUCCAUUAGUAUAAGUUAUAUUGAAGGAUCAGUCAAGGUUGUGGAUUCAUCUAAUAUGGAUUUGCAACCAACUCAACAGGCUGAAGUUUCCAACUUUCGCUAUAGCUGCUCUUUAGCUGCCUCUCAUGCACACUUGUGUGACAAGGGCUAUGCCAAUGGAAGAAAACAAGUUUGACUAACGAACACGAACCACCCAAGAACAGUCCAAUCCUUAUUCAGAGGGACAGAUCCAAUCUCCAGUACGGUGUCCACCUGUUUCUGGAUAAUCUUUAAGGUCUAUCAAUCUAUCUAUUAUUUAGCGCACUUCAUGUCUGUCUAUCUGUUGAAAAAAGAACAGACAAGAAAAACACAGAAAGGGCUGGAACACCAGAGCCAAUUUAUUUAUUACCAAUAUGAAAGAAAAAUAUCAACACUUACAUGCCUUCAUCAUCAGUUCAAGGACGGAUGCUAGGAUGAUAUGUCACAAAUAUAAUGUCAACAAAUUCAGUAAUGUCAAUGUGUGCAUUGCUAUCUUAUUCAAUUUACUUAUAUAGUGGGUUGGAAAAUGACUGACUGACUAUUACUAAUUACCUAAAUGUAACUGUGCAACUAAAUAUCAACAAAACCAUGGAAAAAUGAUUAUUGACUUUCACCACACCAAAGAGCCUCUAUGUCUGGUCACUAUUCAAGGAGUGGAUAUAAAUGGUGGUGCACUCCUACAGGUACUUGGGGGUCCACAUCAAUGGCAAGUUGGACUGGUCUCAGAGGGACUGUAUAAGAAAGAGUAGAGCAGGCUAUUUUUCCUUAAGAUACUGUGUUCCUUUAAUGUUGGUUAAUGACAUCCUUCAUGUUUUUUACAACUCUGUGAUGACCAGUGCCUUUUCUAAGCUGUGGUGUGCUAGGCCAGUAAUAUCAGCUCCAUAGAGACCCACCGAAAUAACAAGCUCAUUAAAAUGGCAGGCUCAGUUAUGGGAUACACCCUGGACCCCCUGAAAGUAGUAGCAAAGGAGAGAAUUAAAACAAAAGUGAGUGGCAUUAUGAACAGUGCUGCAUAUCCCCUCUCUGAAACAAUAACACUGCAUGCUUUCAACCAACAAAUUACUCAGAAGUGUGUCAGGAAACAUUAUUGGGGCUACUGUAUACCAACAAGAAUAUCACUGUGACUGUGAAAGCCAAGUCAGAAGUUUUCUUUCUUUUCAGUUUUCUUCCUUUUUAGUCAUUCUGGUAUGUGUUCAGACUAUAUGUACUGUAUUUCCCAUCAAACAAAG